This 1702-nucleotide long non-coding RNA is filed under the name Capra hircus (goat). RNAcentral's name for it is "lncRNA (ENSCHIG00000004174.1)". The record is from RNAcentral. Lineage: Eukaryota; Metazoa; Chordata; Mammalia; Artiodactyla; Bovidae.
GGAAGGACUGAUGCUGAACCUGAAGCUCCAAUACUUUGGCCUCCUGAUGUGAAGAGCCGACUCAUUGGAAAAGACCCUGAUGCUGGGAAAGAUUGAGGGCAGGAGGAGAAGGGGCCAACAGAUGAGAUGGUUGGAUGGCAACACUGACUCAAUGGACAUGAGUUUGAGCAAACUCCAGGAGAUGGUGAAGGACAGGGAAGCCUGGCGUUCUGCAGUUCAUGGGGCCACAAAGAGUCAGACAUGACUUAGCAACUGAAAAACAACAACAACAGUAUGUUCAAUUAUAGAGAUAAGGAGAAAGAUCAUUUUCCCUUAAAAGACAAAGAAGUGAAUAAAUGCACUUGUUCACUUCAUGAUGGAGAGGAGGCCUGUUGGAGGCUACCUUAAUUUGAACGGCCAAGGAAGUCUUUGUGAGGAAAGCAUUGUCAGGAGCCGGUUGCACCAGCCUCUGCUCCGUCCCCUUCUAGCUCUCAUCCUUGGGAUGUGGGCUCAAAUCUAGGCCCAGGAACUGGGCAGGGAGCAGAUGCUGCAUCAUCCCCUCCAUCAGUCUUCUUCCUUUUCCUUCUUUCUCCUUCUGCCAGUUACAAGAUACUCACUUCUGGUGCAUGAAUAUGGAUGGGUACAAAAGGGAUGAUCCAGGGGUGGGGCAAUGGAAGAAGACGAGCUCAUCUUCACUGACAGUGUCGAAGCCCCAGUUGAGUCACAUGCCGUGACAUUUCUUAAUGUUUCACCCAACCUGGGGACUGUCUACCUAAAUCUAAUGUUGUGGUCAUUUUGGUCUCAGGAAACUCAAAAGUCUUUUCAAGCGUGCAGCAGACUUGUGAUUUCAUACCAAUCAUGCCCGAUUGAUGCUUUUGAACUGUGGUACUGGAGAAGACUCUUGAGAGUCACUUGGACAGCAAGGAGAUCAAACCAGUCAAAUCUAAAGGAAAUCAACUCUGAAUGUUCAUUUGAAGGUCUGAUGCUGAAGCUGAAGCUCCAAAAGUUUGGCUAUCUGAUGCAAAGAGCCAACUCUUUGGAAAAGACCCUGAUGCUGGGAAAGAUUGAAGGCAGGAGGAGAAGGGGAUGACAGAGGAUGAGAUGGUUGGAUGACAUCGCUGACUUAAUGGACAUAAGUUUGAGCAAGCUCUGGGUGAUGGUGAAGGACAGGGAAGCCUGGGAUACUGCAGUCCAUGGGGUCGUAAAGAGUUGGACACAACUUAGUAACUGAACAGCAACAAAUACCUGAUUCAUGUCACCUCCGCCACUAGAGACUAAGCUCUGUGGCAUCUGGGACUGUGGCCAUUUCUGCUGACCACUGCACACCCAGCCUUAACCCAGGGCCUGCCAUGCAGUGGGUACAUAUACUGGCUAAUGCUUGUUGAAUGAGUAAACCAUCGAAUCAAUAAAAAAAUAUUCUCCUUCUUUGUACUUCCCUUUAGGCAUAAACAAAAUCAGUUUCAGUUGUUGGAGAAAAACAAAGUCCUUGUCCAGGCACACGGUCCACUGCAUGGAAAAUAUGGGGUCACUCUUCCUAAGAGGCAACUCUCUUUUCCCUGCAAGUUGAUUAUUUGUUCGUUUUGCUAGAGACAGUCCUGCCUUGGAGACAGUGAUGCUCAUGGUGAGCAUGGGGUGGGAAGGUUGGCUGAGGAGGAGCACAUGAAGUGAGUUGAACUGUAUCUCUGCAUCACAGUUUUGUGUGUGUAUGUGUGUGUAAGCGUGU